This 1992-nucleotide ribosomal RNA is filed under the name Triticum aestivum (bread wheat). RNAcentral describes it as "partial small subunit ribosomal RNA". The record is from RNAcentral. Lineage: Eukaryota; Viridiplantae; Streptophyta; Magnoliopsida; Poales; Poaceae.
GUUAAUGAAGGCAAAUUAGUCAUGGCAAAUAAAAAGUAAAACUUGCCAUGGCAAUAAAAGUUAAAGAUUGCCAUGCGGAUUUAAGUAAAUUUGCCAUGUUAAUAAGGGUCAAUUUGCCAUCGGCAAAUAAAAAGUAAAAACUUGCCAUGGCAAUAAAAGUUGAAUGAUGCCAUGGCAAAUAAAAGUUAAAUAAUGCCAUGGGGAUUUAGGUAAAUUUGCCAUGUUAAUAAAGGUCAAAUAAUUAGUAAAACUUGCCAUGGCAAUAAAAUUUAAAUUUGCCAUGGGGAUUAAGAUAAAUUUGCCAUGUAAAUAAAAGGUUAAUUUGCCAUGGCAAAAAAAGUAAAACUUGACGUGGUAAUAAAAGUUAAAUAUUGCCAUCGGGAUUUAUGUAAAUUUGCCAUGUUAACAAAGGUCAAAUGAAAAGUAAAACUUGCCCACGGAAAUAAAAGUUAAAUAUUGCCAUGGGGAUUUAGGUAAAUUUGCCAUGUUAAUAAAAGGAAAUUAGCCAUGGCAAAUAAAUAGCAAAAACUUGCCAUGGCAAUAAAAGGUAAAUAUUACCAUGGGUAUUGAGGUAAAUUUGCCAUGUUAAUAAUGGUUAAAUAAAUAGUAAAACUUACCAUUGCAAGAUUUUCCAUUUUGUGUUGUUUUUGUCAAUUUAAUGAAUUACCGCAGCAAAAUGCAAAUGGGUUGGAUGGCAAUUUUAGAACUGUUGAUAGCUAUGUAGUGGCAAUUAUGUGAAAAGAAACAUGGCAAAGUGCACUGGAUAUUUUUCCAUGGGAAACAUAUCAUAAUUUCCACGCAUCGAAACUUAAGUCAUGAUGGAAAACACAUCAUAAUUUGCCAUCAGGUUUACAAAGUUCUGUGCCCGUUUGUGUGAAAAUUUGAUUUGUGUAGCUACAUAGUGAGCAAGUCCAACCACUCAUCCAUCAGUUAACAAAAAAAUGUCUAUUCCUAAUUCGUAAUAACAAUGAGAUUGGACUUGAAAGAAAAGUAAAUGCAGCAAAAAAAGGACGCGAGGUUAGCAGCCUCACAUUGCAGAAGAGAUGAAAUGAAUCCCACUGGAUAUGUGGCCGUCGCUUGAGCUAUCCCAGACUUGGAGACGCCGUCUUGUCGUUGCUGGUGGUGAACACCCUCCUCCCUGCCCCAGCAAGCUCUUCUGUGUGCCCCGGAUCCGGCUGCCAGCAAAUCGAGCUCCAGCUUGUUCCCCUCGCCUCCUUCUACGGCUGGGACGAUGGGGAGGAGGCCUCACCGCGCCAAAGCAGGAUUCGCAGCGCCACACAUCAAGCCUGCUGGAUGUGGGCCUCGCCGAACUCCCCGACGAGCGUGCUGGUGGUGAGCCUCCGCCUCUCCGCUGCAUGCCGCCCUUCUCCAUCCAGCCUGCUGCCGCUCGCCGCACUCCUCGACGAGCGUGCUGAUGCUAACGCCGAGCUCGUCUGGCAAGCCUCCGCUUCUCCCCCGCCUCUUCUCCCAACGCGUCGGCAGCCUCCGGCCUGAUUUCGGCCAGGUCCGGCCCCUGCACCACCGGUGGAACUUCUCCCCGCCGCUGCCCGCCUCAUCUCCGUCGCGUCACGACUCCGGCGAGGACAGAUCAGCCCACCUCGUCGCCGGCGCGCCGUGUCCCGAUGCUGGGUCCGAGAGGAGCUCCUCCCUGCUGUCGCCCGCCUCGUCUCCGCAGAGGAGCCAGCUCGCCUCCACGCCGGAGCUCCUGAGCGCCGCCGCUUGGCCACCUGCAGGUCGCCAUCCCAGGCGCCGUCGGUGAGCUACCGCCUCACCUCUCUCUUCCUCCCAUCCAUUCCUUGUCUAGUUGCUUGCGUUGAGUCUCGAGUGGAUAAGGUGUGGGGCGAAGGGAGGGGGAGUGACUGCAUCGUUCGGUCGCUCGUGUAGGAAACCCGAACGAGCGGGAAAAAUGACGUGGCAGAGUUCUGUUCCAAGAUUCGUGCGCGAAAAACGGAGGGUGGAUUCGGCGUUCGGGGCGAGAAUCGCAAAAACCGC